Molecule: long non-coding RNA, 1743 nt
Filed under: Gallus gallus (chicken)
Lineage: Eukaryota; Metazoa; Chordata; Aves; Galliformes; Phasianidae
Source: RNAcentral
CUGCUUUCAGAGACGGGCUGGAGCGCUGCUGGCUUUAAUGCUGAGCGGAGCCGGUUCCUGCUCCUCCUCGGCCGGGCGGCAGCGGUGGGGCACGGAGUGCCGGCCCUGCGCAGCUUUCCUUCGGUGUCGUUCAGAAACGCGCUGCGAGGACGGCUGAGGCGGCGGCACGGGGCGCGUGGUGCGGCCCCACUGCUGCCCUGCAGCCGUGUGCGGUUUUCCUGUCAUGUGGCCCUGAUUGCCUCGAGUGCUGUCUAAAAAUGGAUGGUAACGAAGGGCAGUGCGUUUCGUCACUGACAGAAGCGCAGGGAGGUGCUGCCCUUACUGCGGGGAGAGCCAACGCAGCGCUCCUGCAGCUCCGCUCUGUGCAAGCCGAGGGCUGCAGGGGGUGGCAGCUCCGCGGAGCAGAGAUGCGGCAGCCCAGAGGGCACCGCGAGGCGGGGGGACGGGGAAGAAUUCCUUCUCUCCCUUUGCCUCCCGAUUGCUAUGGAAGGGGUUCAGGAGGAGAAAAAAGCGAUGCGCUGCAGCAGAGGGCUGCGCUGCAACCGCGUGCUGCUGCCAGCGGGCAGGCUGUUAUCCGGCGUCGGGAUGUUAAAGAAACUGAGAGUGUUCAGGUUCGUUUCAAAAGCUUUUAAUGGACUAAAAGACACCAGUGAAAGGAGGUUCUUGUAGGAAAGAUGCACUGUAGUCGUUUAUUGAUUGCUUUCCAUGGAACUCGGAUUUUUCCAAUAGGAGCAAGUUCUUUUGCAGGAGCCGCCUCCUGCUGCGCCUCAGCGCUGCGCCCACCUUGCCUUGCCCCCCACAAAUACCUGCCGUGCCGACGGGAACCCGAGGUACAGCGCGCAGUGACAGCACUGGUUUCUCCAGAAGGUCAGUAAAAGAAGCGAUGCAAAUUAGCACGGGGUACUUCAGCCAUGACAGACAGAAUGAGAGCCUGGACUCCUCUGUCAGCACAGUGUAGGGUGCAUCAGCAACCCUCAGUUGCUCUACAGCUUGAUCUGUUGGGGAAAAAAGGACAUUCCACUCCCAUGGCCCGCAGAGGUGAACUCUGAGCUGCUGCGGGACCGGCGUUACCGGGAGCCUGCAUCGAGAAUGGCGAUGGGAUGCGCGUGUGGUGGGAGAGGGGGAAAUACAGACAUACCCAUUUAAAGGCCUCCGCCAUCUCAGUAACAUCCAUUGCCAGCAAUGGAAGCUCCCCUGGGAACAAUCUCAAACCCAGUGUGCAAAGACAUUCGUUAUGAAGAUAUUGGCCACAGGUUUCAGUGCCGGGAGAGACUGCUCCCCCCGCAAGGCCCAGCAAUUUCAAGUUGUGACACUCAUGAUUCCAAUUCAGUUACGUUUGGCAGCGGGGAUAACAGCCGUGAGCUCUGAGUUAGGGUUAUUUCAGAUAAGAUCAAGUCUCCAUUUCUGACUUUUCCUCCCCUCUUCUCCCCUCUGUUAAUAGGGCCCCUGUUAGCUCCUCACUCAGACCUCGGCUGCUGCCAUUACGUCUCUCCCAGGCACUGGGGUUUCCACUGGAAUGGAAGUUUGUGCGCUUUAAACAUCAAGAUCAAGCCCUCACUCUUUGGGUACAGUAUCCUGUUACUCAGCUGCAAGCAGAGCAGAGGUGGAACUAACGAAGAAGACUUCUAUUUUUGGCAGUGAUACUCCCUGGGAAGUGAUGGAUCUCAAUGAGCAUCUCAGUGCUACCACGAGAAGGAAGGAUUCUUUCCGCAGAAUACACAUCCAUCAACUGCUAGAAAACAG